AUGGCUCAAUCUCUAACUGAUUUCGGAUUCCUCUUCAUCUUCCAUAAUCCUCUUUAUCAUUUUCCACCAACAACGGCAACCACUUCAUAUCUUUAUCACAUCUGUGAUCUUCCACCGCACAUCACCUUCACUAUCUUCAACCUUCAUCCACAACCACCUUCAACGGUUUUUCUCCACCAUCAUUCUUCACAAUAA
This is a non-coding RNA of Vicia faba (fava bean), 195 nucleotides long. NCBI's taxonomy places the organism in Eukaryota, Viridiplantae, Streptophyta, Magnoliopsida, Fabales, Fabaceae. The record is from the annotation of a GenBank genome assembly.